GAUUGAACGCUGGCGGCAGGCUAACACAUGCAAGUCGAACGGUAACAGGAAGCAGCUUGCUGCUUUGCUGACGAGUGGCGGACGGGUGAGUAAUGUCUGGGAAACUGCCUGAUGGAGGGGGAUAACUACUGGAAACGGUAGCUAAUACCGCAUAACGUCGCAAGACCAAAGAGGGGGACCUUAGGGCCUCUUGCCAUCGGAUGUGCCCAGAUGGGAUUAGCUAGUAGGUGGGGUAACGGCUCACCUAGGCGACGAUCCCUAGCUGGUCUGAGAGGAUGACCAGCCACACUGGAACUGAGACACGGUCCAGACUCCUACGGGAGGCAGCAGUGGGGAAUAUUGCACAAUGGGCGCAAGCCUGAUGCAGCCAUGCCGCGUGUAUGAAGAAGGCCUUCGGGUUGUAAAGUACUUUCAGCGGGGAGGAAGGGAGUAAAGUUAAUACCUUUGCUCAUUGACGUUACCCGCAGAAGAAGCACCGGCUAACUCCGUGCCAGCAGCCGCGGUAAUACGGAGGGUGCAAGCGUUAAUCGGAAUUACUGGGCGUAAAGCGCACGCAGGCGGUUUGUUAAGUCAGAUGUGAAAUCCCCGGGCUCAACCUGGGAACUGCAUCUGAUACUGGCAAGCUUGAGUCUCGUAGAGGGGGGUAGAAUUCCAGGUGUAGCGGUGAAAUGCGUAGAGAUCUGGAGGAAUACCGGUGGCGAAGGCGGCCCCCUGGACGAAGACUGACGCUCAGGUGCGAAAGCGUGGGGAGCAAACAGGAUUAGAUACCCUGGUAGUCCACGCCGUAAACGAUGUCGACUUGGAGGUUGUGCCCUUGAGGCGUGGCUUCCGGAGCUAACGCGUUAAGUCGACCGCCUGGAGACGCCACGGAGUACGGCCGCAAGGUUAAAACUCAAAUGAAUUGACGGGGGCCCGCACAAGCGGUGGAGCAUGUGGUUUAAUUCGAUGCAACGCGAAGAACCUUACCUGGUCUUGACAUCCACGGAAGUUUUCAGAGAUGAGAAUGUGCCUUCGGGAACCGUGAGACAGGUGCUGCAUGGCUGUCGUCAGCUCGUGUUGUGAAAUGUUGGGUUAAGUCCCGCAACGAGCGCAACCCUUAUCCUUUGUUGCCAGCGGUCCGGCCGGGAACUCAAAGGAGACUGCCAGUGAUAAACUGGAGGAAGGUGGGGAUGACGUCAAGUCAUCAUGGCCCUUACGACCAGGGCUACACACGUGCUACAAUGGCGCAUACAAAGAGAAGCGACCUCGCGAGAGCAAGCGGACCUCAUAAAGUGCGUCGUAGUCCGGAUUGGAGUCUGCAACUCGACUCCAUGAAGUCGGAAUCGCUAGUAAUCGUGGAUCAGAAUGCCACGGUGAAUACGUUCCCGGGCCUUGUACACACCGCCCGUCACACCAUGGGAGUGGGUUGCAAAAGAAGUAGGUAGCUUAACCUUCGGGAGGGCGCUUACCACUUUGUGAUUCAUGACUGGGGUGAAGUCGUAACAAGGUAACCGUAGGGGAACCUGCGGCUGGUCCCACCUCCCUU
Molecule: ribosomal RNA, 1525 nt
Filed under: Escherichia fergusonii
Lineage: Bacteria; Pseudomonadati; Pseudomonadota; Gammaproteobacteria; Enterobacterales; Enterobacteriaceae
Also listed under: 1 other name
Description: bacterial SSU rRNA
Rfam family: Bacterial small subunit ribosomal RNA
Source: RNAcentral